AUUGAACGCUGGCGGCAUGCCUUACACAUGCAAGUCGAACGGCAGCACGGGUGCUUGCACCUGGUGGCGAGUGGCGAACGGGUGAGUAAUACAUCGGAACAUGUCCUGUAGUGGGGGAUAGCCCGGCGAAAGCCGGAUUAAUACCGCAUACGAUCUACGGAUGAAAGCGGGGGACCUUCGGGCCUCGCGCUAUAGGGUUGGCCGAUGGCUGAUUAGCUAGUUGGUGGGGUAAAGGCCUACCAAGGCGACGAUCAGUAGCUGGUCUGAGAGGACGACCAGCCACACUGGGACUGAGACACAGCCCAGACUCCUACGGGAGGCAGCAGUGGGGAAUUUUGGACAAUGGGCGAAAGCCUGAUCCAGCAAUGCCGCGUGUGUGAAGAAGGCCUUCGGGUUGUAAAGCACUUUUGUCCGGAAAGAAAUCCUUGGCCCUAAUACGGUCGGGGGAUGACGGUACCGGAAGAAUAAGCACCGGUUAACUACGUG
This 486-nucleotide ribosomal RNA is filed under the name uncultured bacterium. RNAcentral describes it as "partial 16S ribosomal RNA". It matches the Rfam family "Bacterial small subunit ribosomal RNA", at positions 30 to 507 of the family's 1533-position model. The record is from RNAcentral.